RNAcentral lists this transfer RNA (18 nucleotides) under Mochlus sundevallii (Peters' eyelid skink). Its description in RNAcentral is "Mochlus sundevalli partial tRNA-Tyr". The record is from RNAcentral. Lineage: Eukaryota; Metazoa; Chordata; Lepidosauria; Squamata; Scincidae.
UGUGGUAAGAAUGGGGUU